Molecule: ribosomal RNA, 199 nt
Filed under: uncultured Pseudomonas sp.
Lineage: Bacteria; Pseudomonadati; Pseudomonadota; Gammaproteobacteria; Pseudomonadales; Pseudomonadaceae
Description: partial 16S ribosomal RNA
Rfam family: Bacterial small subunit ribosomal RNA
Source: RNAcentral
UACUCCUACGGGAGGCAGCAGUGGGGAAUAUUGGACAAUAGGCGAAAGCCUGAUCCAGCCAUGCCGCGUGUGUGAAGAAGGUCUUCGGAUUGUAAAGCACUUUAAGUUGGGAGGAAGGGCAGUAAGUUAAUACCUUGCUGUUUUGACGUUACCGACAGAAUAAGCACCGGCUAACUUCGUGCCAGCAGCCGCGGUAAUA